CCUACGGGGUGCUGCAGUGGGGAAUAUUGCACAAUGGGGGAAACCCUGAUGCAGCGACGCCGCGUGAGUGAAGAAGUAUUUCGGUACGUAAAGCUCUAUCAGCAGGGAAGAAAAUGACGGUACCUGACUAAGAAGCCCCGACUAACUACGUGCCAGCAGCCGCGGUAAUACGUAGGGGGCAAGCGUUAUCCGGAUUUACUGGGUGUAAAGGGAGCGUAGACGGCAGCGCAAGUCUGGAGUGAAAUCCCAUGGCUUAACCAUGGAACUGCUUUGGAAACUGUGCAGCUAGAGUGCAGGAGAGAUAAGCGGAAUUCCUAGUGUAGCGGUGAAAUGCGUAGAUAUUAGGAGGAACACCAGUGGCGAAGGCGGCUUACUGGACUGUAACUGACGUUGAGGCUCGAAAGCGUGGGGAGCAAACAGGAUUAGAUACCCGAGUAGUC
RNAcentral lists this ribosomal RNA (440 nucleotides) under uncultured bacterium. Its description in RNAcentral is "partial 16S ribosomal RNA". It matches the Rfam family "Bacterial small subunit ribosomal RNA", at positions 338 to 795 of the family's 1533-position model. The record is from RNAcentral.